RNAcentral lists this ribosomal RNA (112 nucleotides) under Chitinophaga qingshengii. RNAcentral also lists the same sequence under 3 other names. The record is from RNAcentral. Lineage: Bacteria; Pseudomonadati; Bacteroidota; Chitinophagia; Chitinophagales; Chitinophagaceae.
UAUGGUGGUUUUGCCAAGGGUGUUCACCUCUUCCCAUUCCGAACAGAGAAGUUAAGCCCCUUAUGGCCGAUGGUACUGCACUAUCAUGCGGGAGAGUAGGUAGCUGCCAUAU